CCGUCCUUAGCCAUUUUCCCUUUUCCCUCUCUUUUCUCUUCUUCAUCUUCUAUUUAUUUUUCCUUAUUUCAUUUUCUCUGCACCAUAGAAACCCAAACUGUGCACCCUUCUACAACCGUCGCCAACACUGCCGUCCAUCGCUGGCCUCCUUAUCGCCGUUGAAAAACGCUCGGACUCCACCUCUCUCUCUCGAUCUCUUUUCAUUUUUCUUUCCCCCUUUUUUCAAUCAAAAACCUAGUUGCCCCUUUGUUACUACCGCCCCAUCAAUUGCCACCCUAAACUACCGCCGUCAGUGGUCUCUUCUGACGAUAGAAUCGUCCUGUCGCUUUAAAGCCACCCCCGUCGUACUCUGCCGAGAUGAGCCUUCUACUUUUAUUCUUCUUUUUUAGAUUUUCUUCUUUUGUAUCUUAGUUCUUCUGAAUUUUUGGAGCGUCUGCAGGCUUCUCACUCGGUGUUCCUCUCCUUCUUUACUGACAACUAAUGUGUAUGGUUCUUUUUUGGUGUAAAAAUUGUUGCCUUUAUUGAAUUGUUGGGUUUCUGGAUAGUUGAAUGGUUGGGGUAUUAUUAUUAUUUGAGAUUGUUAUGGGUUGAGAGAAUGAGGUUGAGUGGAGGUGGCGAUGGUGGGCAAUGCUUUGCCCCAUUGUUGUCACUCUUUAAAUAUUGUCAUCAAAUGAGCCGAUUUAGCUUCAUCUUUGAUUGUAAUUUGCCAAACGUAACACUUUUUAACUUUUCUGGUUAGGAGUAGAAAUAAUCUCAUUGCUAAGUUGCAGGUUAUGUUCGAGUCCAC
This 787-nucleotide long non-coding RNA is filed under the name Gossypium raimondii (Peruvian cotton). RNAcentral's name for it is "long non-coding RNA (GRAI_LNC002579)". The record is from RNAcentral. Lineage: Eukaryota; Viridiplantae; Streptophyta; Magnoliopsida; Malvales; Malvaceae.